Molecule: ribosomal RNA, 980 nt
Filed under: Cyclommatus asahinai asahinai
Lineage: Eukaryota; Metazoa; Arthropoda; Insecta; Coleoptera; Lucanidae
Description: partial large subunit ribosomal RNA
Rfam family: Archaeal large subunit ribosomal RNA (bases 848-980)
Source: RNAcentral
AAAAUUUCCCGAAUUUUGGGGAGCUAAUUGUGAAAUUAUUUUAAUGUGGAAAAAUUAUUUAUAAUUUAUAAUUUGUAAUUAUAUGUUAGUCAUUCUUUAAUAUAUCUGGUUUUCUAAGAAAUUAAUUCAAUUAAUUUAAUCAAAUGAAUGAUUUUAUAAUAAAAUAAAUCUUUGAUUAUUAAAGCUUUAAGGGGAUAAGCUUUUAAAGUUAAAUUUAUAAUAGGCUAAUUAACUGAGUUAAAUAGGAUUAGAAGUUUCCAAUUUUAAUAGAGUUUAAUAACCAAUCUCAGAGAUUAUUUAAUUUAUUAAGUGUUUAAUUUUUUUAUUAGAAUGAUUUAUUUAAUUAUUUUUUAAAUAUAAUAAUGAUAGAAUUAGUAAAUUUUAAUGUGAAUAGUUUUCUUAUGUGAGGAGUUUUUAAUAAGGAACUCGGCAAAUUAACUUUCCGCCUGUUUAAUAAAAACAUGUCUUUCUGUUAAAUAUUUAAAGUCUGGCCUGCCCAAUGAUUAUUUAAAUGGCCGCGGUAUUUUGACCGUGCAAAGGUAGCAUAAUCAUUAGUUUUUUAAUUGAAAGCUGGUAUGAAUGGUUUGACGAGAAAGUUGCUGUCUCUUUAAAAUUAAUUGAAUUUUAUUUUUUAGUUAAAAAGCUGAAAUUUUCAUAAGGGACGAGAAGACCCUAUAGAAUUUUAUAAUUAAAUGUUUAGUAAUUAUAUUGAUUUAUAUUUGUUAUAAAACUUUUAAUUAUUUUGUUGGGGCGAUAGGAAAAUUUAAUUAACUUUUUAUUAUUAAGAGCAUUGAUUUAUGUAUAUAUGAUCCAUUUUUUUUUGAUUACAAGAGAAAAUUACCUUAGGGAUAACAGCGUUAUUAAUUUGGAGAGUUCAUAUCGAUAAAUUAGUUUGCGACCUCGAUGUUGGAUUAAAAUUAUCUUUAGGUGGAGAUACUUAAAAGUUAAGUCUGUUCGACUUUUAAAAUUUUACAUGAUCU